ACCUGGAACCAUGACCUGUUCUCCACCUGAGCUUGGGAGUUCUUCAGAACUUCAGUCGCCCUCUGCAGGGUUUCCCCGAUGUCAGCUAAGAGUUUUGGAAGGAGAUGGAGUCGAGUAUUGGUUCUGUACGUCUUGUCAAGAUGGAGGAUGGGAGAUUCUGCACACUUUGUUCCAAUUGUUCUCACUUCAAAAGCUGCAUUCAGUUGACCCUCGAGCAAGGCUCCAGAGUGGUGGCUCCCUUAUUAAUGCUAGCAGUAGGGACCAUCAGUGUUGCUGAGGACUAUGCUGAAUCUCGUCACAAUUGUAUUUGCACCUCGGGGUGUAACGAGGACAAUUAAGUGAAUAGUGUAAGUUGCAGCUUCCAGUUGUGUCUGUUAGUUUUCCUACAUUCCUUAAUGUUAAGUGUCUGCCACCUCAGCUUGCCUGACGAGAAGCUGUCAAGGCAGAAAUUCUGGCAUAAAUACUAAUAUGUUUGUUUUAUGUAUACAAUCAAUAUGAAUAUAUCAGUGUGAAUUUAGUUUUUCACAGUUUUGCCUUCAAAUUAGUUUGCAUGUUAUGAGAACUUUGGUUUGAAUUCAUUUUCCUUCGUUAUUGUCUCAUUAUAAGUGUAAAUGUGAGUAUAGCAUUUUAUUUCACUGGUGUUGCAAAACAGAAGACAUUUUGCUUUACUUGCACUCAUUGCUCUAAAAUAGACCAAACAGCAACAUGAAUAAUGAUUGAUAUUCUCCCCUUCCCCAUAUGAUUCUCUGCACAACACUACCCAUCAACUAUUCCUCAUAUGAUUGCAACAUUUGAAGAGAAUUUUGGGAAAGUAAAUUGUGUAACUGCUAUCAGGUAUGUUUGAAGAUAUAUGUUUAAUAUCAUAAGCAUAAUUUCAGUGUGAAGUCAGAUCCCAUCUGACCAGGAAGCUCUACCAAAGACGUAUCCUAGUUUUGGGUAAUCUUUACACACAAUCUACAAAACAAGGUUGUUCGUCAUGGUCUGUGUAGGACUGCAACUAACAAUUAUUGUAAUACAAAACAAAAUGGGGAUUCAUUUUCUGUAACUGUUGCAGCUCCAGCUGUACCUUUUUGUUUUAUUUGGUCUCCAAAAUAUCUAUAUCAGUAUCAGCCUCAAAAAUGUACAAAGUAAAUCUGACCCCAAUUAAGCUUACCCAAAGUAAUAUUUUGUUGUGACUGUGAGAGAGUGCAUGUUCAUUUUGGAAGACGUAGCCUGAGGGUAGUGUUUUGUUUGGUUUCUCUGUACUAAAAAUAUGUUGUUGUUUUUAAUUUUGCCCACCAUGUGCAAUAAAUUAGUAGGAGUGAGAGAGUGCUGAGAUGCCCAAAUAUAAUAAUAAUAUAAAGAUGGA
Long non-coding RNA from Acanthopagrus latus (yellowfin seabream), 1348 nucleotides. RefSeq lists it as uncharacterized. The record is from RefSeq and is a predicted model, not a curated record. NCBI's taxonomy places the organism in Eukaryota, Metazoa, Chordata, Actinopteri, Spariformes, Sparidae. The transcript has 3 exons.